AUUGAACGCUGGCGGCAUGCCUUACACAUGCAAGUCGAACGGCAGCAUGGAGAGCUUGCUCUCUGAUGGCGAGUGGCGAACGGGUGAGUAAUGCAUCAGAACGUACCGUGUAAUGGGGGAUAACGUAGCGAAAGUUACGCUAAUACCGCAUACGACCUGAGGGUGAAAGCAGGGGAUCGCAAGACCUUGCGUUAUACGAGCGGCCGAUGUCAGAUUAGCUAGUUGGUGGGGUAAAGGCUCACCAAGGCGACGAUCUGUAGCGGGUCUGAGAGGAUGAUCCGCCACACUGGGACUGAGACACGGCCCAGACUCCUACGGGAGGCAGCAGUGGGGAAUUUUGGACAAUGGGGGCAACCCUGAUCCAGCCAUGCCGCGCGAGUGAAGAAGGCCUUCGGGUCGUAAAGCUCUUUCGACCGGGAAGAAAUCGCACAGGCUAAUACUCUGUGUGGAUGACGGUACCGGCAUAAGAAGCACCGGCUAACUACGUGCCAGCCGCCGCCGUAA
Molecule: ribosomal RNA, 504 nt
Filed under: uncultured bacterium
Lineage: Bacteria
Description: partial 16S ribosomal RNA
Rfam family: Bacterial small subunit ribosomal RNA
Source: RNAcentral